UACGUGGGGAGCAAGCGUUGUUCGGAUUUACUGGGCGUAAAGGGCGCGUAGGCGGCCACCGCAAGUCGGUUGUGAAAUCUCUGGGCUUAACCCAGAAAGGUCAACCGAUACUGCGGGGCUAGAGUGCAGAAGGGGCAACUGGAAUUCUCGGUGUAGCGGUGAAAUGCGUAGAUAUCGAGAGGAACACCUGCGGCGAAGGCGGGUUGCUGGGCUGACACUGACGCUGAAGCGCGAAAGCGUGGGGAGCGAACAGG
This 254-nucleotide ribosomal RNA is filed under the name uncultured bacterium. RNAcentral describes it as "partial 16S ribosomal RNA". It matches the Rfam family "Bacterial small subunit ribosomal RNA", at positions 524 to 776 of the family's 1533-position model. The record is from RNAcentral.